Molecule: unclassified non-coding RNA, 304 nt
Filed under: Hevea brasiliensis (rubber tree)
Lineage: Eukaryota; Viridiplantae; Streptophyta; Magnoliopsida; Malpighiales; Euphorbiaceae
Source: RNAcentral
GUUGAACGCAGCACUUGAAUCCAACAACGAUAAAAACGAUUCGAGAGAAUAGACAGGAACCAUCAGAAUGAGUCCAAUAAGAAACUUUUGCUCCUCUGGCUGAUUGUAAGCAGCUAAAUGCUCAAAAAUAAGGUACAUGGACAGGACAAGAGCAACAAGCACAAAUAUGCUAGCACUGAAGAUUGGCCAGCUGACAUUUACAAGAGAAUUUGUGCCCAGAUAUAAGGUCCAAACUUUCCCUGAACUACUUGUAGAUUCGACCAAGGUGAAAAGGAAAAACAAAGAACAGAAAGCUCCCCUCCAU